UAAAUUCGUAGUUUUAUCACAAGAAAUGAAGUGUUUUACCAAAGUUGUGUAUCUUUUUGUGGCUUUCAACAUCUUGGACUGCUCCUACGCCUACAACAUGCCAAUUUCGGAAGCAAGUUACAGAUUUAUACAGCUUGUUUUGAGCAUUCAUUCAUCUGAAUCGAAUGCGAAUUUAAUAUGGUGGCAACAUGGUGUGGUUAUCGGGAGUGAUCAGAGAAGGCCAACAUCCAGUAAUCCUGAAGAUUAUGUACAAAGAUUCGAUUUAACAACCAGAACUGUAUAAAUGGGAUCUGUAAUGAAUAACAUGUUAAGUGUCAGCUAAAGCAGUGGUGGCAAUGUUUCUCUCUCUCUAAAGGCAUUGAGUCCAGCUUGAAAUGGAUGACCCUCUGACAUUGUGAAGAUAUUGCUUGCAGCAGUAAGCCUGUCAUCA
This is a non-coding RNA of Pocillopora verrucosa, 430 nucleotides long. The record is from RefSeq and is a predicted model, not a curated record. Lineage: Eukaryota; Metazoa; Cnidaria; Anthozoa; Scleractinia; Pocilloporidae.